AACAUUUCCAAUAAAAUUAUGACAGGUGAAAAACGACUGCAAUUGCAUCAAGAACCUGUGAGCUGUGACAGUCAGACUUACCAUUCAAAGAAAAUGCAACUCUUGCACAUAAACUUAGGUGUUCGGUGGAGACGUUGUGAUAAGACCGAAAUCGUGACAACUGAUUUGGGCUGAUCAAUCUAAUGCAAAUCUACUCAGACAAUAAGUACGAGAUAAAUAAAAAGACACAAAAUCAACAUUUUAGUUGUAUUCAGGUGAUGAUGACUGAAAAACUAAUUCAUGGUUUACAUUUAUGUUAUCUGCGAAACAAUCCAUUCCAUCAUGUUUGUUAAUAUUUAAAUGGAUGUGAAAGAACAAUCAGAGAAGUCUGCUGUAGCUGAAUGUGCACUGUUAGAUGGAAAUCACAAGAUAAAAUUCCAAGAUACACAAUUGACAACCAGAUAUCACAAGAGAAUGAUUAGGGAAGCAAUUGGAAUCCAUAAUCAUGGAAAUAACUUCAAUAGAAAAGAAGCUUUGAAGAUGAAUAAAAUAUGGAGACCAAAAUCGCUAAGCAGACAAGAAUGGCCAACAAAAAAAAAAAAACAAAAUUUCUAGAACAUCAGUUGUUCAAGUUGUCAUUUAGUUGCCAAUCAGAUAUCCAAGUGACAUGAUUCAAAUCAGACCUCUGAAGAUGCUAGCCACUCGUGCUAGUGGACCCCAACAACUAUAGAUAUGGAAAGAAUAGUCAUGAAAGCCUCAACCUUUAUAAUAUGUUUAAGAUAUAAAUAUCUGAAGAACUAAACUGAGGUUCACAUUUAUGUGGCUGUGUUUAUCAGUAUUCAAAUAAAUCUGAAACCAAAAUGUCUGUGAUAUCAAUGCCUGAAGAACUAAACAGAUGUUCAUCUAUAUAUGGCUUAUCAGUAUUCAAAUAAAUCUGAAACCAAAAUGUUUAUGGUGAUGAUGAUUGAAAAAUUGAUGAUGGUUGAUGGUUUACAUUUAGUGUGAAACAAUCCAUUGUUUAUCAAUCUUCAAAUAAAUCUAAAAGGUAUUAUGACAAGUGAUAGGACGUACAUGGAUUCUUCCAGUUGUCUUCAUCUAUAGUUUUAAUUUCAAUAAAUGAAUAAUUUUUGUACAUGUAUAAAAUCGUAAUAUACAAUUUAGUCAAUUUAAGGUUUAUAACCUGCUGCUCCAUAAACAUUGUAGUAUGUUAAGUUGACUAUUAUUACUGGUUGUGUAGUAGUGACGGUUGUUAAUUUGUCAUAACAUUUCCUUCAGGUUUGAAAUUGCUCAAUUAAAUUGAUUUAUUUGAGCUGUCUAUGACUACUGAAGGUAUUCGUUCAUGGUGUCGUUAUUUAUUUAUUAUUUCGUGCUUCAAAUAAUGCCAAAACUUCUAUCUAUUUUCACUAGAUACACGAUGCACUUGAACAAGUUUGUGAAUCGUUUGUUGUAGAUAUUACAGGUGAUGUUCUCGUUGAAUAUGUAGAUGUUAGUUUCAAAUUUUCGAGUAUUUUCCAAAUUUUUCAGGUCGGACGAAUCGAAGUGAUGGUGUUUAUCAUCUUUGAUACAUAUUUUUCGUUUCAUUAAUAAUUCUUGAAUAAUUAAUCCAGAGAUAAUUCACGAUUUAGUUCGCUCUCGGAAUAUUUAGUAAGUUUCUUCUUUUGAAGUAUAUCUGUUACGGUAAAUGUACACCCUUGGGAGUGAAAAAUGUGUACAUUUUUCGGCAAAUGUGUACUUUUGCCUUCACGUUUUGGUAAAUGUAUAUUCUUACCUUCAUGUUUUAAGAAAAGUUGGAAUACAAAUAAAUUAAAAAUGUUGUUGCAGUAAAAAAAUAUUUAUUUAAAUAAACAUAAUACAAAAGGCUUUAAUAACGAAAAUUAUUUUAAUUAAAAAAUGGAAAUGACAAACGAAACAUACUUUUCUUUGCAUAUUAUAUAAUAUUCCUAAAUACAAUUUUCGUCCUACUUUUUCAGGACCAAUACGAUGGGAAUCAAACAAAUAAUAACAUACUUUAUUAUAACAGUUAAAUUUUAUAAAACUGUAAAGGAACAUAUAGAAAUUUCAUAAUGAAAAAAGUUUUAUUUGUUUGAACAAGAAUUGCUAUUGUGACACAUGGAAUUACAUAAUAUUCCAGCAUUUUUACAACUGCAUUUUUGUAGGAACAUGUUCCUUUACAGAUGCAUCUUUUAAAACCGUUUAAAACAGAAUUUAGCUCAAAACUUCCAUCUUUAUCUUGAAUUUGGUUGCAUAAUAAACCAUCAUCCAAAAUUAUGUCCAACGUUUUAAUGGAAAAUUCAUCGUUUCCUGCGACUUUUGCUGUGUGGUGAAUUGGCUGUGUGUUCUCCUUCUAGUAAUUGCUCUAACUCUUCUUCUGUUUCCAGCUGUUCAACAGAUUUCAUAGGUAAAUUUGAUGUUUUCAAACCCAAUUUCAUUUUUGUUCCGAAUAAAGCUUCAUAGGGAGUUUGCUUUAUACCCUCAUGAAAAGCUCUAUUUUUCAACAGUUGAACAUAUUUUAUUUUGUUCUGGGUCCCACAACUUUGUCCAUACCGCUUCAUUUCCGUCACUGGUAAUGUUCUCUGAAUUGGGCAGUCUUCUGCCGUUUUAUUUCCUUUUAUUUUUUUUGUAGUACAUUUAAGUUGUCUGCGGCUCCACCUCGGCCUGCCAUCCAAUAUGUCUGGUGUGGUCGGCCACCUUCGUCACUACCGCGAUGUGCCUCCGGAUCCUCUCGAAGUGGACGAUGUGUCGAUUAGUGACCCAGGACCUACUGGAUCGGUCGUCGGAACAAUUCUCGACCCCUUUUGACAUGGGGCCUUCGACAAUGGCCUCGUGCCAUUUGGAGGCCGACGGGACGUCGCCAGCCAGCUGUAAGUGGAGGAUCUUCACCGCGGCAUUGAUGGUCCUAUCCGCGUCUUUAAGAAGGGUGCCUGUCGUCUUGGUGUUAUGCCGGCCGUAAAGAACUUUGGGUAUCAGGAACUCCCUCAGCAGUGCAAUCUUCUGGUCCGGCUUACGUGGGGCCCGCUGUAGCGCAGCGCACCAAUACUGCAAGUUGCAGACGGACGGCUUGUUGAUUCCGGUUGGACCAAAACGGUGGGCCAAGUAUUUGAAGGUGGACAAUACUUAGACCACAGCAAUAGGUUCGGAUAAAUCCCACAAAUUUUUAAAUAAUUGUUGUGCAGAAGGUUCCUUGACACGAACUUUCUGUAAACCACUGGAUAUUCUUCGUGGGUUUAGUUAAUCCAGAAAUAAAUCACAAUUUACUCUUCUCUAGAAAUAUUUAGUAAGUUUCAUCCCUUGGUUCAGCAUUUGAUUCUUUAUUCAUUAUGGAGAUAUAAAGUUUCUGUCUGUUUUUUUUAUUUUUAAUAAAAAUGUACUAAUUUGUCUUGACAAACGUUUAGACGUUUGUCGGUAGUUGUUUGUCAAUGGCAAAUGGUGAUUUUCAAUUUGAUUGUUAAUUGUUUUAUUUGUUGUUUCAAAAUUUUUAUUUUUUAUUUACACAUGAUUUAUGAAAUUAAAAUAUAUUUUAAAUUCGAGAUGUACUCCACCAGUUCUCCGGUAACAGGUUCGGAUAAAUCCCACAAAUUUUUAAAUAAUUGUUGUGCAGAGGUUCCUUGACACGAAGUUUCUGUAAACCACUGAAUAUUCUUCGUGGGUUUAGUUAAUCCAGAAAUAAAUCACAAUUUACUCUUCUCUAGAAAUAUUUAGUAAGUUUCAUCCCUUGGUUCAGCAUUUGAUUCUUUAUUCAUUAUGGAGAUAUAAAGUUUCUGUCUGUUUUUUUUAUUUUUAAUAAAAAUGUACUAAUUUGUCUUGACAAACGUUUAGACGUUUGUCGGUAGUUGUUUGUCAAUGGCAAAUGGUGAUUUUCAAUUUGA
Long non-coding RNA from Aethina tumida (small hive beetle), 3845 nucleotides. RefSeq lists it as uncharacterized. Lineage: Eukaryota; Metazoa; Arthropoda; Insecta; Coleoptera; Nitidulidae. The transcript is spliced from 8 exons. The record is from RefSeq and is a predicted model, not a curated record.